This 29-nucleotide non-coding RNA is filed under the name Bombyx mori (domestic silkworm). The record is from RNAcentral. Lineage: Eukaryota; Metazoa; Arthropoda; Insecta; Lepidoptera; Bombycidae.
CAACCAGGCGCAUCCUGACCCACAGGAUC